CUGGCUCAGGACGAACGCUGGCGGCGUGCCUAAUACAUGCAAGUCGAACGAACUCUGGUAUUGAUUGGUGCUUGCAUCAUGAUUUACAUUUGAGUGAGUGGCGAACUGGUGAGUAACACGUGGGAAACCUGCCCAGAAGCGGGGGAUAACACCUGGAAACAGAUGCUAAUACCGCAUAACAACUUGGACCGCAUGGUCCGAGUUUGAAAGAUGGCUUCGGCUAUCACUUUUGGAUGGUCCCGCGGCGUAUUAGCUAGAUGGUGGGGUAACGGCUCACCAUGGCAAUGAUACGUAGCCGACCUGAGAGGGUAAUCGGCCACAUUGGGACUGAGACACGGCCCAAACUCCUACGGGAGGCAGCAGUAGGGAAUCUUCCACAAUGGACGAAAGUCUGAUGGAGCAACGCCGCGUGAGUGAAGAAGGGUUUCGGCUCGUAAAACUCUGUUGUUAAAGAAGAACAUAUCUGAGAGUAACUGUUCAGGUAUUGACGGUAUUUAACCAGAAAGCCACGGCUAACUACGUGCCAGCAGCCGCGGUAAUACGUAGGUGGCAAGCGUUGUCCGGAUUUAUUGGGCGUAAAGCGAGCGCAGGCGGUUUUUUAAGUCUGAUGUGAAAGCCUUCGGCUCAACCGAAGAAGUGCAUCGGAAACUGGGAAACUUGAGUGCAGAAGAGGACAGUGGAACUCCAUGUGUAGCGGUGAAAUGCGUAGAUAUAUGGAAGAACACCAGUGGCGAAGGCGGCUGUCUGGUCUGUAACUGACGCUGAGGCUCGAAAGUAUGGGUAGCAAACAGGAUUAGAUACCCUGGUAGUCCAUACCGUAAACGAUGAAUGCUAAGUGUUGGAGGGUUUCCGCCCUUCAGUGCUGC
Molecule: ribosomal RNA, 866 nt
Filed under: Lactiplantibacillus pentosus
Lineage: Bacteria; Bacillati; Bacillota; Bacilli; Lactobacillales; Lactobacillaceae
Description: bacterial SSU rRNA
Rfam family: Bacterial small subunit ribosomal RNA
Source: RNAcentral